This 163-nucleotide ribosomal RNA is filed under the name Phyllostachys glauca. RNAcentral describes it as "5.8S ribosomal RNA". It matches the Rfam family "5.8S ribosomal RNA". Rfam says of the family: 5.8S ribosomal RNA (5.8S rRNA) is a component of the large subunit of the eukaryotic ribosome. It is transcribed by RNA polymerase I as part of the 45S precursor that also contains 18S and 28S rRNA. The record is from RNAcentral. Lineage: Eukaryota; Viridiplantae; Streptophyta; Magnoliopsida; Poales; Poaceae.
CACACGACUCUCGGCAACGGAUAUCUCGGCUCUCGCAUCGAUGAAGACGUAGCGAAAUGCGAUACCUGGUGUGAAUUGCAGAAUCCCGCGAACCAUCGAGUCUUUGAACGCAAGUUGCGCCCGAGGCCCUCGGGCCGAGGGCACGCCUGCCUGGGCGUCACGC